GGCUAAUGAGCUUGAUAAGCAUUUGUUUUGAAAACAUAAGAUAGAAAUUAAAAUUUUCUAUUAGCUU
RNAcentral lists this transfer RNA (67 nucleotides) under Clytra espanoli. Its description in RNAcentral is "tRNA-Ser". It matches the Rfam family "tRNA". From Rfam's summary of the family: Transfer RNA (tRNA) molecules are approximately 80 nucleotides in length. Their secondary structure includes four short double-helical elements and three loops (D, anti-codon, and T loops). Further hydrogen bonds mediate the characteristic L-shaped molecular structure. tRNAs have two regions of fundamental functional importance: the anti-codon, which is responsible for specific mRNA codon recognition, and the 3' end, to which the tRNAs corresponding amino acid is attached (by aminoacyl-tRNA synthetases). tRNAs cope with the degeneracy of the genetic code in two manners: having more than one tRNA (with a specific anti-codon) for a particular amino acid; and 'wobble' base-pairing, i.e. permitting non-standard base-pairing at the 3rd anti-codon position. The record is from RNAcentral. Lineage: Eukaryota; Metazoa; Arthropoda; Insecta; Coleoptera; Chrysomelidae.